RNAcentral lists this ribosomal RNA (430 nucleotides) under uncultured bacterium. RNAcentral describes it as "bacterial SSU rRNA". It matches the Rfam family "Bacterial small subunit ribosomal RNA", at positions 343 to 790 of the family's 1533-position model. The record is from RNAcentral.
GGGGGGCAGCAGUGGGGAAUAUUGGACAAUGGGCGCAAGCCUGAUCCAGCCAUGCCGCGUGAGUGAUGAAGGCCUUAGGGUUGUAAAGCUCUUUCACCGGUGAAGAUAAUGACGGUAGCCGGAGAAGAAGCCCCGGCUAACUUCGUGCCAGCAGCCGCGGUAAUACGAAGGGGGCUAGCGUUGUUCGGAUUUACUGGGCGUAAAGCGCGCGUAGGCGGGUAUUUAAGUCAGAGGUGAAAUCCCAGGGCUCAACCCUGGAACUGCCUUUGAUACUGGGUACCUAGAGUAUGGAAGAGGUGAGUGGAAUUCCGAGUGUAGAGGUGAAAUUCGUAGAUAUUCGGAGGAACACCAGUGGCGAAGGCGGCUCACUGGUCCAUUACUGACGCUGAGGUGCGAAAGCGUGGGGAGCAAACAGGAUUAGAUACCCCGG